Molecule: ribosomal RNA, 469 nt
Filed under: uncultured bacterium
Lineage: Bacteria
Description: bacterial SSU rRNA
Rfam family: Bacterial small subunit ribosomal RNA
Source: RNAcentral
AUUGAACGCUGGCGGCAUGCCUUACACAUGCAAGUCGAACGGCAGCACGGGAGCAAAUCCUGGUGGCGAGUGGCGAACGGGUGAGUAAUAUAUCGGAACGUGCCCGGUCGUGGGGAUAACGUAGCGAAAGCUACGCUAAUACCGCAUACGAUCUAUGGAUGAAAGCGGGGGAUCGCAAGACCUCGCGCGAUUGGAGCGGCCGAUAUCAGAUUAGGUAGUUGGUGAGGUAAAGGCUCACCAAGCCGACGAUCUGUAGCUGGUCUGAGAGGACGACCAGCCACACUGGGACUGAGACACGGCCCAGACUCCUACGGGAGGCAGCAGUGGGGAAUUUUUGGACAAUGGACGCAAGUCUGAUCCAGCCAUUCCGCGUGCAGGAUGAAGGCCCUCGGGUUGUAAACUGCUUUUGUACGGUAACGAAAAGGUUUGUCUUAAUACGAUGAGCUCAUGACGGUACCGUAAGAAUAAG